GGCACCACGAGGGUUACACUGUCUCCUCUUUCUAAUCAGUGAAACUAAUCUCCCCGUGAAGAAGCUGGGAUUUUUUUAUAAGACGAGAAGACCCUAUGGAGCUUUAAACUACUAACACUUGCUGCCAUUCACUCCCCCUUCCAGAAACUUUUUAUUAAGCAUAGCAUCAUGAUUAAUAGUUUUCGAUUGGGGUGAUCGCGGAGUAAAAAACAACCUCCAUGCCGAAAGGGCUUCCUCCCCUGAGCCAAAAGCUACAACUUAAAGCACUAAAAAAUUAACGUUUAUUGACCCAAUAAUUUUGAUCAACGAACCAAGUUACCCUAGGGAUAACAGCGCAAUCCACUUCAAGAGCUCCUAUCGACAAGUGGGUUUACGACCUCGAUGUUGGAUCAGGGUAUCCCAGUGGUGCAGCCGCUACUAACGGUUCGUUUGUUCAACGAUUAAAACCCU
This 450-nucleotide ribosomal RNA is filed under the name Boana faber (blacksmith treefrog). RNAcentral describes it as "LSU rRNA". It matches the Rfam family "Bacterial large subunit ribosomal RNA", at positions 1998 to 2597 of the family's 2925-position model. The record is from RNAcentral. Lineage: Eukaryota; Metazoa; Chordata; Amphibia; Anura; Hylidae.